Molecule: long non-coding RNA, 250 nt
Organism: Thalassophryne amazonica
Lineage: Eukaryota; Metazoa; Chordata; Actinopteri; Batrachoidiformes; Batrachoididae
Exons: 3
Source: RefSeq, a predicted model, not a curated record
GCACACAUUUAAAACCACGCUGGGUCGGAGUUAAAGCGUUUGUUGUGUGAGCUAUCAUGAUGGCGUCACUACUUGAAGCUUUUCCUCAUGUCUUUGUUGAUCGCUGGGCUCAAGAAACAAAAAAACUAUUAGCUGUCAUUCUCAUUUCAAGCAAAUAAAUAUGAAUAAAUGUCUUCAUCAAACAGCAAAGCGUCCUGUUGUAUGACACAAACAACUGGUUAAAUGGACGCAUGGUGGUGCAACGCACAGC